UUUUUUCCAUCAACUUUUUUCCUUCUCAUGCGCCGAAAUUUUUACGCUAACCCUAAAAAUCCUUCCCUUCCUGAACCCCUCUCCGUGAAUCUCUCCUUCGAACUCCUCUCCGUCCAACCCCUCUCCAACGAACCCCUCUCCGUGAAUCUCUCCUCCGAACACCUUCAAACAAUGAGCUCCGAACACCUUUGAAAGCCUUCACUGCCAUCCGAAGCGAGCAGUGGUACCAUGUCGAUCUCAACCUCUACGCAUCUUCACCUUGUCCAAGCGCAGAUCACCGCACGAGAUCGAUACCCUAGUCACCAAUCUAAUGGAGGAGGAGGGAUGGCUCUCCGAGGACACUGCCAAGGGGGUUCCCUAGCUCGUUAGGGUUCUUAUGGCUGAUCGGUGGUGAGGAGGAGAGCCAAUCGGUGAGCUAAUCGGCGGCGGCGUAGAAGGUCAAGAUUGGAUUUUACUUCGCCACGUGGUGGGCGCUGAAUAUGGUGUUCAACAUCUACAACAAGAAGGUUCUCAAUGCCUUCCCCUACCCUUGGCUGACCUCCACGCUCUCCCUCAUUGCCGGCUAGCUCCCUCAUCUUUUAGGUCAAGUUCGACUUAACCUCUUCAAAGCACACUUUGAAACGACAAAAAAGAUUCGUGGCAAUGCAAAUUUCCGUUACGCAUGGCUUGCUUCCUCCAAUGAUGCGGUGGACGGGAUGAUGUCUCAUGGGGUUCUGAAGCAAGCUGUGCAAAAAUGACUUUAUGGAAAUGGACUUCAUCUUGCCCCUGCAAAUUUCUCUAAUAUCUGCAUUUUUGAAUUGGAAAGAAAGUGAAUCUCAUGCUUUCCAGAAUUCUAGUUCAUCCGACUGCUUAUUACAGCGGUGAAUGCUACAUAGGAUAACACAAAAUCUUUGUACAAAGUGAGGACAGAAAUGCAAAGUGCAUUGAACAGUCAUUUGAAGAUAUUUUGAAGGUGAAUGGAGGUAUU
Zingiber officinale is the source of this 967-nucleotide long non-coding RNA. RefSeq lists it as uncharacterized. NCBI's taxonomy places the organism in Eukaryota, Viridiplantae, Streptophyta, Magnoliopsida, Zingiberales, Zingiberaceae. The transcript is spliced from 4 exons. The record is from RefSeq and is a predicted model, not a curated record.